RNAcentral lists this unclassified non-coding RNA (577 nucleotides) under Hevea brasiliensis (rubber tree). Lineage: Eukaryota; Viridiplantae; Streptophyta; Magnoliopsida; Malpighiales; Euphorbiaceae. The record is from RNAcentral.
UCAAGACAAAGUGAGGAAAUUGAGCUUAAAAAAAAUGCUAAAACACAGAAGAUUCCACUACACGAAUGAGCCAACUGUACCCAAAAAUAUUUGCAUGACUAGUCAUGUCAAUUACAGUAACAGCAUCUCCUUUACCCCUCUCUCAAACUCAAGAGGCAACAGUAAAAAUAACAACAAUAACCGAAUAACUGUAACCACGAUGAUUCAAUUCCAAUUCCAUAACAGGAACUUAAAUAUACUAUGCUAGCUUUCCAUGCAAAAUAGCUCCUAGAGUUAGGCUUAACCACCAAACAUGGUCCUUGGUAUUUGUGCAUGGAAGAGAGUUAUGAAUUGUUGAAAAUAGACAAGAACAAGGUAUCUAGAAAAAGAUCUGGUCUUAUUUGGUCGGUUGUAUAUGUCCUUUAUGAUCUUCCUCCAUUGAUUUUGCUGCCCUUUAUUCAUGUUUUAGAUGCCACUUUUUUACUGCAAUGGGAUCGAUGUCAAAGCCAGAGAGAAAGAAGAAACACAAAGACAUGAUAAAAGUCAAAACGUACGAGGCUUCUUUAAUUUGUUCUUGUAGCAUAAGUUCCAAUGGAGA